CAGCAGCCGCGGGAAUACGAAGGGGGCUAGCGUUACUCGGAAUUACUGGGCGUAAAGGGCGCGUAGGCGGCGCUCCAAGUUAGGCGUGAAAGUCCUGGGCUCAACCUGGGAACUGCGCUUAAGACUGGAGUGCUUGAGGAUGGAAGAGGGUUGUGGAAUUCCCAGUGUAGAGGUGAAAUUCGUAGAUAUUGGGAAGAACACCGGUGGCGAAGGCGGCAACCUGGUCCAUUACUGACGCUGAGGCGCGACAGCGUGGGGAGCAAACAGGAUUAGAUACCCCAGUAGUCCCUGUCUCUUAUAC
This 301-nucleotide ribosomal RNA is filed under the name uncultured bacterium. RNAcentral's name for it is "partial 16S ribosomal RNA". It matches the Rfam family "Bacterial small subunit ribosomal RNA", at positions 509 to 807 of the family's 1533-position model. The record is from RNAcentral.